This 371-nucleotide ribosomal RNA is filed under the name uncultured bacterium. Its description in RNAcentral is "bacterial SSU rRNA". It matches the Rfam family "Bacterial small subunit ribosomal RNA", at positions 1116 to 1482 of the family's 1533-position model. The record is from RNAcentral.
UGCCAUCAUUUAGCUGGGCACUCUAAAGGGACUGCCGGUGUUAAACCGGAGGAAGGUGGGGACGACGUCAAGUCCUCAUGGCCUUUAUGUCCAGGGCUACACACGUGCUACAAUGGGCGGCACAAAGGGCAGCGACACCGCGAGGUGAAGCAAAUCCCAAAAAACCGCUCUCAGUUCGGAUCGGAGUCUGCAACUCGACUUCGUGAAGGUGGAAUCGCUAGUAACCGUGGAUCAGCAUGCCACGGUGAAUACGUUCCCGGGCCUUGUACACACCGCCCGUCACACCACGAAAGUCUGCUGUACCAGAAGUCGUUGGGCUAACCCGCCUUGGCGGGAGGCAGGCGCCUAAGGUACGGCCGGUAAUUGGGGUG